This is a non-coding RNA of Monodelphis domestica (gray short-tailed opossum), 833 nucleotides long. NCBI's taxonomy places the organism in Eukaryota, Metazoa, Chordata, Mammalia, Didelphimorphia, Didelphidae. The record is from RefSeq and is a predicted model, not a curated record.
UUCCCAGUUUAGAUUGCCCCGCCCUGCCCUGUGGAGCUGUUCCUCCCUCUCUCCCUCCUCCCCUCCUUCAGAGCCUCCCUUUCGCGUCUCCCGGUUGCUCUUUCAUUAAAAAUGAUCAAAGAGAAGCAAAUCUUCUGUGUUUAACUGAAGGGAGACGGAGCUUUUGGACUCACCUGGAAACAGAGAAGCAGGCUGAGGCAGUGAUCCAGAACAUCGGAGAUAGUUGCAGAGAGCAUCCUUUACAAAGGAACAGAACAUAUAAAGCCAAAUCUCCUCCCCUCACUGUCCUGUAACCACUCCUCAGUGGGUUGUUUCUACUUCAGAAUUCAGAGCUUCAAGUCCAGGAAAGGGAUGGAAAGUGCCCAUUUGGAUGGAUGUCAACAGGAAGCAUCCUAGUAGUGAACUACCAAAAAGGGAAACCAGAGCAGGCCACUGGGCUUCCGGCCACUGAGCCUCUACCAAUUGUAAUAUUGUGGAUGAGAGAUGGGAAAUGUCUGCAGCAGUGCUGGAGAAGGUAGGACUGCUGAACUGUCAAUCAAGGAGGACAUUCUAAUUGGAAUGAUGACCAGGAAGGACUGUUAAAGAAGGAAAAGACAAGCUGAGAAACUUGGUCUCUUGCCCUUGGGACAGAAAAGUCCUGCUCACUGAUUUCUUUCUACAAUAUUCAAGUGACUGAAUCUUCAAACCUGUUGGCCAAUUUCCCAAAACCUAGACUAUUCCACCAUCCUCCAACUUAGGAAUUAUUUUAGGAUUAGGGAAACCUCAACCCCUCUCUCCCCUCAACGACCCUACUUUUCCCCUUCUCCUAAAUAAACCCCUUUUGUUUAAAGUUA